GCCUUUGUGGUGUAAUGGCUAGCACACUCGGGGUGUAUUCGAGAGGUCCGUGGUUCGAGUCCUGCCGAGGGCA
This 73-nucleotide transfer RNA is filed under the name Stegodyphus mimosarum. It matches the Rfam family "tRNA". Rfam says of the family: Transfer RNA (tRNA) molecules are approximately 80 nucleotides in length. Their secondary structure includes four short double-helical elements and three loops (D, anti-codon, and T loops). Lineage: Eukaryota; Metazoa; Arthropoda; Arachnida; Araneae; Eresidae. The record is from Rfam by way of RNAcentral.